GUUGUAUGGUUAAGUGACUAAGCGUACAUGGUGGAUGCCUUGGCAGUCAGAGGCGAUGAAGGACGUACUAACCUGCGAUAAGCCGUGAGCAGUCGGUAAGAGACAUUACGACUCACGGAUUUCCGAAUGGGGAAACCCACUUAGCAUAAGCUAGGUAUCGCUACGUGAAUACAUAGCGUAGCGAGGCGAACCGGGAGAACUGAAACAUCUAAGUACCCCGAGGAAAAGAAAUCAACCGAGAUUCCCUCAGUAGCGGCGAGCGAACGGGGAUUAGCCCUUAAGCAUCUUGGAAGUUAGUGGAACGGUCCUGGAAAGGCCGGCGAUACAGGGUGAUAGCCCCGUACACGAAAACAACCUUGAUGUGAAAUCGAGUAGGGCGGGACACGUGACAUCCUGUCUGAAUAUGGGGGGACCAUCCUCCAAGGCUAAAUACUCCUGACUGACCGAUAGUGAACCAGUACCGUGAGGGAAAGGCGAAAAGAACCCCUGUGAGGGGAGUGAAAUAGAACCUGAAACCGUGUACGUACAAGCAGUGGGAGCCCUUCGGGGUGACUGCGUACCUUUUGUAUAAUGGGUCAGCGACUUACAUUUUGUAGCGAGGUUAACCGUAUAGGGGAGCCGUAGGGAAACCGAGUCUUAACUGGGCGUCUAGUUGCAAGGUGUAGACCCGAAACCGGGUGAUCUAGCCAUGGGCAGGUUGAAGGUUGAGUAACAUCAACUGGAGGACCGAACCCACUAACGUUGCAAAGUUAGGGGAUGACCUGUGGCUGGGGGUGAAAGGCCAAUCAAACUCGGAGAUAGCUGGUUCUCCCCGAAAGCUAUUUAGGUAGCGCCUCGGACGAAUACUACUGGGGGUAGAGCACUGUUUGGGCUAGGGGGUCAUCCCGACUUACCAACCCCAUGCAAACUCCGAAUACCAGUAAGUAAUAUCCGGGAGACACACGGCGGGUGCUAACGUCCGUCGUGAAGAGGGAAACAACCCAGACCGCCGGCUAAGGUCCCAAAGUUCUGGUUAAGUGGGAAACGAUGUGGGAAGGCUCAGACAGCUAGGAUGUUGGCUUAGAAGCAGCCAUCAUUUAAAGAAAGCGUAAUAGCUCACUAGUCGAGUCGGCCUGCGCGGAAGAUGUAACGGGGCUCAAACCAGGCACCGAAGCCGCGGAUUCACACUAAGUGUGAGUGGUAGGGGAGCGUUCUGUAAGUCUGCGAAGGUGUGUCGAGAGGCAUGCUGGAGAUAUCAGAAGUGCGAAUGCUGACGUAAGUAACGAUAAAGGGGGUGAAAAGCCUCCUCGCCGGAAGACCAAGGGUUCCUGUCCAACGUUAAUCGGGGCAGGGUGAGUCGACCCCUAAGGCGAGGCCGAAAGGCGUAGUCGAUGGGAAGCAGGUUAAUAUUCCUGCACGACUUGUAAUUGCGAUGGGGGGACGGAGAAGGCUAGGUGGGCCAGGCGACGGUUGUCCUGGUGAAAGUGCGUAGGUGGUGUUUCUAGGCAAAUCCGGAGACACAACACUGAGACACGAGACGAACGCACUACGGUGCGGAAGCCAUUGAUGCCCUGCUUCCAGGAAAAGCCUCUAAGCUUCAGAUUACAAGUCAUCGUACCCCAAACCGACACAGGUGGUCGGGUAGAGAAUACCAAGGCGCUUGAGAGAACUCGGGUGAAGGAACUAGGCAAAAUAGAACCGUAACUUCGGGAGAAGGUUCGCUCUUGACAGUGAAGUCCCUUGCGGAUGGAGCAGUUGGGAGUCGCAGUGACCAGAUGGCUGGGACUGUUUAUCAAAAACACAGCACUCUGCAAACACGAAAGUGGACGUAUAGGGUGUGACACCUGCCCGGUGCCGGAAGGUUAAUUGAUGGGGUUAGCGCAAGCGAAGCUCUUGAUCGAAGCCCCGGUAAACGGCGGCCGUAACUAUAACGGUCCUAAGGUAGCGAAAUUCCUUGUCGGGUAAGUUCCGACCUGCACGAAUGGUGUAACCAUGGCCAUGCUGUCUCCACCCGAGACUCAGUGAAAUCGAAUUCGCCGUGAAGAUGCGGUGUACCCGCGGCUAGACGGAAAGACCCCGUGAACCUUUACUACAGCUUGGCACUGAACAUUGAACCUACAUGUGUAG
This 2106-nucleotide ribosomal RNA is filed under the name Aeromonas hydrophila. RNAcentral's name for it is "partial 23S ribosomal RNA". It matches the Rfam family "Bacterial large subunit ribosomal RNA", at positions 1 to 2141 of the family's 2925-position model. Lineage: Bacteria; Pseudomonadati; Pseudomonadota; Gammaproteobacteria; Aeromonadales; Aeromonadaceae. The record is from RNAcentral.